Phacochoerus africanus (Common warthog) is the source of this 1419-nucleotide long non-coding RNA. RefSeq lists it as uncharacterized. The record is from RefSeq and is a predicted model, not a curated record. Lineage: Eukaryota; Metazoa; Chordata; Mammalia; Artiodactyla; Suidae. The transcript is spliced from 3 exons.
CCUGCGCGCCGCGCUCCGGGCUUUGCCUGACAUCUAGCUGCUGCUGGGGCGCCGGCGGCCGCCGCUCACUGGCCAAGCGGAGAGGAACGGAGCUCGCGGAGAGGAGGGUCAGGGACUCGGAAGCCUUAGAGUGGGCAGUGGAGGUGAGGGGCAAGGAGCAACCACCCCCCCAGGUUUUUAAUUUCCACUGGACACAGGUUUUGUUUUCCCCAGCUGCUCCAAGCUUGGAGUUUUGUCCCUGGCUCCAGUAUUUGCCCCUAUUCAGUGCGUGUCAUCCAUCUCGCCUUGCACUUUUUCUAAACGUACUCGGGGUGGCACUGCCUGUACCUCGACAUCGGUUUUUGAAGGGCGCUUUACCGGCCUAAGCCCAGGCCUUUUGUGCCUCCGGGUCUUCUGAGCACCCAGACUGCCAGUAGCCUCCAGGCGCAGAGUUCGCGGCCCGGGUAAACCAGAUGCUAGAGGGUCCGCGGGCUCUAUCGUCGAGGGGCGGUGCCCCAUUUUGGCUGUCGCGACCCCUGGAGGCCAAGGUCGAGGUCUGAGAGAAACUUUUCUCCCUCGCAGUCUUGGCCAUCCCCUGGCCUUUGCCCUCCAGGGAACCUAGUUGAAAACAUUUCCUGAGAACUGCACCCCCUUCAGGGCAAAGUCUUCAGGGGGCGAAUAAAAGCCUGAAGAAGAUUCAGAACCGCAAGUGGUUCCUCUCAUCUGGCUUCUCCACUUUAGAGGAUGGGGUUGAGGUCGGUAGCCCCCGGGUAGAGCCACCAGAAGAAAUCUCAGGAUGCGCAGAGUCCCCUUCUCCGCCCUUUUCCCUAGAGCUCAUUGAAGAUAGGGCUCGAGAGGCGCAGUGGGCUAACGUCCAGGAGCGUUGGGGUGAGGGUGAUGGCGGAGAGCGCCCUCCCUGGGUCUCCGGAGAGUCAGCCCUGGAGGUCAUUCAGCCUUAGCAACGAGGGGCUUCAGUAACUGGGUCCCCACGUUCAGUGCGUGACACGCGGUGGGGGGGGAGGUCAAAGGUUUUCCACAGGACUCAUAUGUUAUCACAUCCCCAGGCACGUCUCAGACACUGUCCCUAACGGAGAGUCGGGCCCCAGGAAUUAAAGAGUCAGGGAGGGUGGCAGAAGCCAAUAGAAGCAAAAAUCUGCUCUGGCCCCAUAAGGCCCCUUGGGGAGGUUUACAUCAGAACUGAUCUGGGUUCAAGAGCUGCUAAUGGAGUAGUCCCAAGGAUAGGCAAUUCCAUCCCAGCCAGCAGCCCUCUCUGUUCACAAGAAAAGUGCUCAGACCUGCAGGAGUCAGAGGAGAGAAGCAAAGCUGAGGGAGAAGCACACGAAGCCAAGGUCUCCGCAGCAGCCAGCCAAGCUAAGGACCCAGCAGCCCUCCACUGAGUCAGGCCACUAGCUUUUUAGGGCUGCACCUGUGGCACAUGGA